Molecule: non-coding RNA, 4718 nt
Organism: Paramisgurnus dabryanus
Lineage: Eukaryota; Metazoa; Chordata; Actinopteri; Cypriniformes; Cobitidae
Source: RefSeq, a predicted model, not a curated record
CAGGUUCUGUCUUCUUUGGUCCAGCCACAGCGAUUGUCGCAAAGUACUGGAUGACACGUUUGGUGUUGACGGUCUUUCCUGCGCCGGAUUCUCCGCUGUAGUGUGAAAACGUAAAUUGCCCGAAAAGAAAUGGACCGAGCUGGAAUCGGUUCAGCACAGAGAUCAUGCCAUGCGUCUGCUGGACGAGCUUGACAUCAUCGGCAGAGAGCGACAUUUAAAAGUCGCCAGAGCUCUUCUGUAUAUGGCACAAGGGACGUUUGGUGAGUGUAGAGAUGGAGGUCCAGCACUGGAUGAGAUAUAACAUCUUUCUACUGUUGGAUGUUGGAGCUUUUACUGCUCUGGAAAUAAAGAAACCUGCGAUCUCUCUGGCCGACAGCACUGACCUCAGGAUCGCAGGUUCUACUCUUUAAAACCAUGAGCCCAUCUCAGUCAUGCUUUUUGGGAUGGUGACCAAGUUCUGCAGCGGUCAUGCCCCUCAUUUCCCAAUGAAGAAAGUUCUGCUGCUGCUUGGAAGACCAUCCUGGUAGCAGUUUGUUUACAGUACCAGCAGGCGCUCACCUUCCCAAUCUCACAGCUCUUGAUUCUCAUCUUAUUGACCUGAGACUCAGAAAUGUCAGCACGUUCCUGAACCUCCUCCAGCUCAUUCUGCACCUUCCUGUAUCUAGACAGGUUCUGUCUUCUUUGGUCCAGCCACAGCGAUUGUCGCAAAGUACUGGAUGACACGUUUGGUGUUGACCGUCUUUCCUGCGCCGGAUUCUCCGCUGGAGUGGGAAACGGAAAUCUCUUUCUUCUGGAUGUCUGUGGUGUUAGGUUUACAAUCGGUCACAUUGUUUCCUGAUGAUAAAUCUCGACUGCGGAUCUGCCAGAAAAUGUACUGAUACAGUUCAAGUCAGUAGACAACAUAUCACUCCACAGUUGUUACUUUAACCAAAUUCAGUACAUAUAUAACCUGAUCAGUCUACACAUGGAGCUCAAAUCCACAAAUAUAAGCUUUAAACUUGAUUGGAUGAUUCAUCUCAUAAGAUUCUUAUCUCUGUCGUUUGCUCAAAUUCAAUAUGUUUUCAUCAGUACAACGUAUUCUUUUACUUUAACUGACUGAAUGUAUUUAUCAUUAAUGUGAUGUAUAUGAUCACUAACUUACAAAAUAUAACUUUAAAAUGUUAAACACUUUAUAUUAAAUAUUCUAUUCUGCUAGUUAAAUACUUAUUCUAGCAAGUAGCAGUGUAGCGUGACCAGACGCUACAUUACGUUGUGCCUCCAGCAGCGCACUGAGCGCAGCAGCGUCUUCUUCUUUUCUUACUAACUUGGAUCACAAACUCAAAUUGUUCAGAACUGCCAUCUAUGGUUCUGUCACACAUCUUUGCGGAGAUUGUCUGAUGAUUACGUACAGAAUAUGCAGGAGUAAAGUCACCACACAGACUCAUACUAUAAUGUUUGUGAUAGAGAGAGGCAUCAACGCAGAAUCUGAAGAUGUAGAGAUGAAUUACCCAUGGCCGUAUUUGUUCAAGUUCAUGUCUCUUAAAGAACCAAACGGUAAAGCUGCUUACAUGUUGGUAUGUAAUCUUGGCAAACCAAAUGUUUAUCUGUCUGCGUCGAAAAAACGUCAAGCACAUACGAGUAAAGCCAUUUCAAAUUAAUCAUCCCAUUGUUUUCUUCUAUUUUAUGUGUCUAUUGUGAAUUCAAAAUGUUGAGUUCAUAGCUCAUGAUGUGAAGUCACGGUGCACUCACAGUGAGCUCAUACUAUGGUUACAAUGUGAGGUCACGGCACACUCACAGUCAGCUCAUACUAUGGUCAUAAUUUUAGGGGAACGGCACACUCAUUCUGUUAUAGCAGGACAGCACACAUGUUUGGAAAAUAUUGGCCCAAGAGUAGAACUUCACUCUUCUUACCUAUAAUUUCUAAGAAAUUUUAUAGCAAUGAUCAUAGGAUCAAAUUUAGGACACUUUCUACACAGCAUUUUAUACAGCCAUAUACAUGGUGUGUAAUGUCAACAACAAGGUUAUGGCAUUAAGAAGCCUAAAUAAAGGUUUAAGAAAGCUCAAACAGAUUGAAGGUAAAUUGAGCGGGGUUCACAGAUUUGUUUUGUCCAAGCAUUGUGGCCUAGUGUUGGAGAAUUAGACUUGUGUUUAACCCAGAGGUUUUUAGUUUAAUGCCCACAGCUGGCAGGAAAGUUAGUUAGUUGCAGUGCGUUUGUGCGUGUUCUCUCUCACUUUUCUUUUAUUGGCCAGAUAUCAUUUGCAAUUAAAUGCUGACGUUUUGGUGACAUGUUUUCAAUUAGCAAACCUAUAUUAGCUUUCUGAGUGACGUCUGGAACUUUGUAUAUCAUUAGCUUUAUUGGUAGUAUGAGCUCACAGUGAGUGUGCAGUGACCUCAUACUGUGACCUCAAUAUACGAGCACACGGUGAGUGCUCAGAGUGGCUACACUUUUAGAUCACUGUGAACCACACAUUGUGACAACAUUAUGAGGAUCUUGUGAGCUCAUGGUGACUUUUUGUUGACUGGGAAUUACUUCUGCCUGUGGCCUGCAAAGGUCAUUCUGUUCCUAAACUUAGACUUCUUGCAGUGAAAUUGGUAAUCAAUAUAUAUGCUCUGAACUGGAUGUUCAUGUGGGGAGAUUUUCCAAGAUGACCUAUAGCUCAACCAAUCAGAAUCUUGAAGUAAUGAUGGAGUUUACUGAUAGCUGUAAAUAAACUAUACAGUUAAUGGUGGAUAAUGCGGGCAAUCAUUAUUUGGUGACAUUCCUAAUUAACCAGAAAAUAAGGUAGGAAAUUUUAUUUUAUUUUGGUUAGGCUGUCAGGUGGAAAAGUUUGGGAGUAGGGGAAAUGAUUGGGUUACUUCACUCAGUAACCCACUGACUCCCAUAGUAGGAAAAAAUAAUAAAUGGUUUGGUAACAAACAUUCCUUAAAAUGUCUUCCUUCGUGUUCAUCAGAACAAAGAAUUGUUUGUAACAACAUGAGAGUAAGUAAUGAAAGAAUUUUCAUUUUCGGGUGAACUACUGAAAGUGAUCUUGCGUGUUUAAUGUUUUGUAAUUUAUAUAUCUUAAAUUGGUUAUGUGAUUUGCAUUAAACUUUUACCUGGCAAAUUAAUUAUGUUUGGAUUUAUUCUAAUCCACUUUGAAUUAUUAUUAUUAUUGGCUACUUGUAGAUUUUGAUGAACCAUUGGGCCAAUAGGUGAAUUGCCUUACACUUAAAAUUCAGUCACUUUUCAGCCAUGUAUGUAAAAAGAAAGCUGCCGGCCCGGAUGGAAUCUCUGCUUUUCUCUUUAAAACCUUUGCUGCAGAGCUAACCCCUGCAUGGUGCCCUGUGUUUCAGAGGUCCGUUGAUUCCCACAUGGUCCCUGCCCUCUGGAAAAAAUCGACCAUUAUUCCCAUUCCAAAGAAACCCUGUCCUAAAGAAAAUAAUGAUUAUAGACCGGUGGUUUUAACUUCUUUUGUCAUGAAAUGUCUGGAAAAAUACAUGGUAUCCAUAUUGAAAUCUGAAGUUAACACUCUACUAGAUCCACUCCAGUUUGCUUAUAGGCAGGGGAGGAGUACAGAUGAUGCAAUUAAUAGCAUCACUCACCUAACUCUUAAGCACCUGGAGGAUCCCAAGGCCUAUGCACGCCUUUUGUUUAUUGAUUUUAGUUCUGCUUUUAAUACCUUCCAGCCUCACCUGCUCUUACAGAAAAUGAAUAUGAUGAAUGUUAAUUCUCGGACGACACCGCCAUUCUUAGUCUGCUUCACCAGAACUCUGAAACAUCACUGUAUUUUUCAGAGGUUAAACAAUUUGUCACGUGGUGUGACAAGAACUAUCUCACCAUCAACAUAAAAAAACUGAGAAGAUGGUGUUUGACCCUCGGUUGGUGGGGGAUCAUACCCCCUUGUCCAUUCAUAGGGAGGAGAUCAAACAGGUCACUUCAUACAGGUAUCUGGUUCCCGUUUACAGCAAAGACUGUAUUUCUUACGCAGACUAAGAGUGUUUGGUGUCAGUCAAAGCAUUAUGUUUUUAUUUUAUCAGGCAGUGAUGGAGAGUAUUAUCAGGUAUGGGAUGCCGGCGUGGUUUGGCAAUCUCUCCACACAAUCCAAGUCAAAAUUGCAGCGCCUGGUACAGACUGCUAUGAGGGUGAUGGGGAGGACUGAAAAGCUCUCCCUUCAGUCCAUCUAUGAGCAGUCUGUACUUAGGCAGGCACGGAGAGUAUUGUUGGACCCGUCCCACAUCCUUCAAACGGAAUAUGAGCUCUUGCCUUCGGGCAGAAGAUACAGAAUCCCUAAAAUUAAAUUGAACCGUUUUAAAUACUCCUUUGUACCAGUCUCCAUCAAAAUUUUAACCAAAACUUUUAGUAGAUUUGUAAUAGAUAGGCUUGAAAAGUGUGCAAUAACUCUGUUCUGUGCAAUAACUAGGUGUUCUGUAUAGUUGUUAUUUGUAUCUAUUUAUUUAUUUAUUUAUUUAUUUUAUUUUAUUUGUGUAUUUAUUGUUCACAAUGGCAGCUGCUUCUUUGCACUACGCACUUUGGAGUCCAUGACAAAUUUCCCUGAGGGGACAAUAAAGUAUAUUCUAUUCUAUUCACUUUAUGUAAAAAUUGAUGUGAAAUGAUUUAUCUAUUUCUGCAGUCUUUCAUAUCACUUUAUUUUGUACAGAUGUUACAGCUCUAUUAAGAUCUAAUUUUGUAUCAUUGUGUCUUUCACUUCUGAAAAAUGUUUAUAAAAGAAUUGGUAAGAUGAAGACAUUCUAAUUUUUC